UACGAACUGUGCAAACGUUAUUCGGAAUCACUGGGCUUAAAGGGUGCGUAGGCGGCUUAUUAAGCAGGGUGUGAAAUCCCCCGGCUCAACCGGGGAAUAGCGCUCUGAACUGAUGAGCUUGAGUGAGGCAGGGGUGCGCGGAACUUCCAGUGGAGCGGUGAAAUGUGUUGAUAUUGGAAGGAACACCGGAGGCGAAAGCGGCGCACUGGGUCUUGUCUGACGCUGAGGCACGAAAGCCAGGGGAGCAAACGGG
This 253-nucleotide ribosomal RNA is filed under the name bacterium. Its description in RNAcentral is "partial 16S ribosomal RNA". It matches the Rfam family "Bacterial small subunit ribosomal RNA", at positions 524 to 776 of the family's 1533-position model. RNAcentral also lists the same sequence under 2 other names. The record is from RNAcentral.